This 818-nucleotide ribosomal RNA is filed under the name uncultured bacterium. RNAcentral describes it as "bacterial SSU rRNA". It matches the Rfam family "Bacterial small subunit ribosomal RNA", at positions 60 to 892 of the family's 1533-position model. The record is from RNAcentral.
AGUCGACGAGCGAGAGAGAGCUUGCUUUCUCGAGCGAGUGGCGAACGGGUGAGUAACGCGUGAGGAACCUGCCUCAAAGAGGGGGACAACAGUUGGAAACGACUGCUAAUACCGCAUAAGCCCACGGCUCGGCAUCGAGCAGAGGGAAAAGGAGCAAUCCGCUUUGAGAUGGCCUCGCGUCCGAUUAGCUAGUUGGUGAGGUAACGGCCCACCAAGGCAACGAUCGGUAGCCGGACUGAGAGGUUGAACGGCCACAUUGGGACUGAGACACGGCCCAGACUCCUACGGGAGGCAGCAGUGGGGAAUAUUGCACAAUGGGGGAAACCCUGAUGCAGCGACGCCGCGUGGAGGAAGAAGGUCUUCGGAUUGUAAACUCCUGUUGUUGGGGAAGAUAAUGACGGUACCCAACAAGGAAGUGACGGCUAACUACGUGCCAGCAGCCGCGGUAAAACGUAGGUCACAAGCGUUGUCCGGAAUUACUGGGUGUAGAGGGAGCGCAGGCGGGAAGACAAGUUGGAAGUGAAAUCUAUGGGCUCAGCCCAUAAACUGCUUUCAAAACUGUUUUUCUUGAGUAGUGCAGAGGUAGGCGGAAUUCCCGGUGUAGCGGUGGAAUGCGUAGAUAUCGGGAGGAACACCAGUGGCGAAGGCGGCCUACUGGGCACCAACUGACGCUGAGGCUCGAAAGUGUGGGUAGCAAACAGGAUUGGAUACCCUGGUAGUCCACACCGUAAACGAUGAUUACUAGGUGUUGGAGGAUUGACCCCUUCAGUGCCGCAGUUAACACAAUAAGUAAUCCACCUGGGGAGUACGACCGCAAG